Molecule: transfer RNA, 62 nt
Filed under: Dinomachus sikhimensis
Lineage: Eukaryota; Metazoa; Arthropoda; Insecta; Hemiptera; Heterogastridae
Description: tRNA-Asp
Rfam family: tRNA
About the family: Transfer RNA (tRNA) molecules are approximately 80 nucleotides in length. Their secondary structure includes four short double-helical elements and three loops (D, anti-codon, and T loops).
Source: RNAcentral
AAGGAAUUAGUUUAAUAAAACAUUAACUUGUCAAGUUAAAGAUACUAAUCAAGUAUUCCUUA